Molecule: ribosomal RNA, 2773 nt
Filed under: Escherichia coli
Lineage: Bacteria; Pseudomonadati; Pseudomonadota; Gammaproteobacteria; Enterobacterales; Enterobacteriaceae
Description: bacterial LSU rRNA
Rfam family: Bacterial large subunit ribosomal RNA
Source: RNAcentral
AGCGUACACGGUGGAUGCCCUGGCAGUCAGAGGCGAUGAAGGACGUGCUAAUCUGCGAUAAGCGUCGGUAAGGUGAUAUGAACCGUUAUAACCGGCGAUUUCCGAAUGGGGAAACCCAGUGUGAUUCGUCACACUAUCAUUAACUGAAUCCAUAGGUUAAUGAGGCGAACCGGGGGAACUGAAACAUCUAAGUACCCCGAGGAAAAGAAAUCAACCGAGAUUCCCCCAGUAGCGGCGAGCGAACGGGGAGCAGCCCAGAGCCUGAAUCAGUGUGUGUGUUAGUGGAAGCGUCUGGAAAGGCGCGCGAUACAGGGUGACAGCCCCGUACACAAAAAUGCACAUGCUGUGAGCUCGAUGAGUAGGGCGGGACACGUGGUAUCCUGUCUGAAUAUGGGGGGACCAUCCUCCAAGGCUAAAUACUCCUGACUGACCGAUAGUGAACCAGUACCGUGAGGGAAAGGCGAAAAGAACCCCGGCGAGGGGAGUGAAAAAGAACCUGAAACCGUGUACGUACAAGCAGUGGGAGCCUCUUUUAUGGGGUGACUGCGUACCUUUUGUAUAAUGGGUCAGCGACUUAUAUUCUGUAGCAAGGUUAACCGAAUAGGGGAGCCGAAGGGAAACCGAGUCUUAACUGGGCGUUAAGUUGCAGGGUAUAGACCCGAAACCCGGUGAUCUAGCCAUGGGCAGGUUGAAGGUUGGGUAACACUAACUGGAGGACCGAACCGACUAAUGUUGAAAAAUUAGCGGAUGACUUGUGGCUGGGGGUGAAAGGCCAAUCAAACCGGGAGAUAGCUGGUUCUCCCCGAAAGCUAUUUAGGUAGCGCCUCGUGAAUUCAUCUCCGGGGGUAGAGCACUGUUUCGGCAAGGGGGUCAUCCCGACUUACCAACCCGAUGCAAACUGCGAAUACCGGAGAAUGUUAUCACGGGAGACACACGGCGGGUGCUAACGUCCGUCGUGAAGAGGGAAACAACCCAGACCGCCAGCUAAGGUCCCAAAGUCAUGGUUAAGUGGGAAACGAUGUGGGAAGGCCCAGACAGCCAGGAUGUUGGCUUAGAAGCAGCCAUCAUUUAAAGAAAGCGUAAUAGCUCACUGGUCGAGUCGGCCUGCGCGGAAGAUGUAACGGGGCUAAACCAUGCACCGAAGCUGCGGCAGCGACGCUUAUGCGUUGUUGGGUAGGGGAGCGUUCUGUAAGCCUGUGAAGGUGUGCUGUGAGGCAUGCUGGAGGUAUCAGAAGUGCGAAUGCUGACAUAAGUAACGAUAAAGCGGGUGAAAAGCCCGCUCGCCGGAAGACCAAGGGUUCCUGUCCAACGUUAAUCGGGGCAGGGUGAGUCGACCCCUAAGGCGAGGCCGAAAGGCGUAGUCGAUGGGAAACAGGUUAAUAUUCCUGUACUUGGUGUUACUGCGAAGGGGGGACGGAGAAGGCUAUGUUGGCCGGGCGACGGUUGUCCCGGUUUAAGCGUGUAGGCUGGUUUUCCAGGCAAAUCCGGAAAAUCAAGGCUGAGGCGUGAUGACGAGGCACUACGGUGCUGAAGCAACAAAUGCCCUGCUUCCAGGAAAAGCCUCUAAGCAUCAGGUAACAUCAAAUCGUACCCCAAACCGACACAGGUGGUCAGGUAGAGAAUACCAAGGCGCUUGAGAGAACUCGGGUGAAGGAACUAGGCAAAAUGGUGCCGUAACUUCGGGAGAAGGCACGCUGAUAUGUAGGUGAAGUCCCUCGCGGAUGGAGCUGAAAUCAGUCGAAGAUACCAGCUGGCUGCAACUGUUUAUUAAAAACACAGCACUGUGCAAACACGAAAGUGGACGUAUACGGUGUGACGCCUGCCCGGUGCCGGAAGGUUAAUUGAUGGGGUCAGCGCAAGCGAAGCUCUUGAUCGAAGCCCCGGUAAACGGCGGCCGUAACUAUAACGGUCCUAAGGUAGCGAAAUUCCUUGUCGGGUAAGUUCCGACCUGCACGAAUGGCGUAAUGAUGGCCAGGCUGUCUCCACCCGAGACUCAGUGAAAUUGAACUCGCUGUGAAGAUGCAGUGUACCCGCGGCAAGACGGAAAGACCCCGUGAACCUUUACUAUAGCUUGACACUGAACAUUGAGCCUUGAUGUGUAGGAUAGGUGGGAGGCUUUGAAGUGUGGACGCCAGUCUGCAUGGAGCCGACCUUGAAAUACCACCCUUUAAUGUUUGAUGUUCUAACGUUGACCCGUAAUCCGGGUUGCGGACAGUGUCUGGUGGGUAGUUUGACUGGGGCGGUCUCCUCCUAAAGAGUAACGGAGGAGCACGAAGGUUGGCUAAUCCUGGUCGGACAUCAGGAGGUUAGUGCAAUGGCAUAAGCCAGCUUGACUGCGAGCGUGACGGCGCGAGCAGGUGCGAAAGCAGGUCAUAGUGAUCCGGUGGUUCUGAAUGGAAGGGCCAUCGCUCAACGGAUAAAAGGUACUCCGGGGAUAACAGGCUGAUACCGCCCAAGAGUUCAUAUCGACGGCGGUGUUUGGCACCUCGAUGUCGGCUCAUCACAUCCUGGGGCUGAAGUAGGUCCCAAGGGUAUGGCUGUUCGCCAUUUAAAGUGGUACGCGAGCUGGGUUUAGAACGUCGUGAGACAGUUCGGUCCCUAUCUGCCGUGGGCGCUGGAGAACUGAGGGGGGCUGCUCCUAGUACGAGAGGACCGGAGUGGACGCAUCACUGGUGUUCGGGUUGUCAUGCCAAUGGCACUGCCCGGUAGCUAAAUGCGGAAGAGAUAAGUGCUGAAAGCAUCUAAGCACGAAACUUGCCCCGAGAUGAGUUCU